This is a long non-coding RNA of Arachis duranensis, 549 nucleotides long. RefSeq lists it as uncharacterized. The record is from RefSeq and is a predicted model, not a curated record. Lineage: Eukaryota; Viridiplantae; Streptophyta; Magnoliopsida; Fabales; Fabaceae. The transcript is spliced from 3 exons.
AAGCAUACUAACCCAUGGUUAUGGUCUCUACUUGGAACUUCCAAAUUUAGAUUUCCUCAAGUCUUUGUGCAUACAAAUAUUUUUCUUUUGGGAUACAUAAUAGGAGUUUAGUUAAAUGAGUCUUGCAGAGAGCUUACUUGUUUUGUUUUCUAAUUAUGAUGAGCUAGUUUUGUUUACAAAUCAAUAUGAUUUAUUAUUAUUAUUAUUAUUAUUAUUAUUAUUUGGAUCCAAUCAGGUUUGUUGAUAUCAAUUUUAAAGCUGAGAGGAAGUGCUUUCUCUUUUACUCAACAGAAGCAGAUUGUUGAUAUUGGCAAAACUCUGCCAUUAUUCAUGGAGCUUCAAACCUUAGGUGACAGGAUGUGAAGAACCAUGCUCUGCAAAGUGUCUUGUUUUCAAUGUUGCAGGUGUGUGGCACUUAUUAAAAGCUUCUUCAUGAGAAAGAAGAUGUAUGAAUAUGAUGGAGUUUGUAAUUUGUAGUUUAUAUUUUGGAGAUUUAUAAUUCCUUAUUUUUCUUGUCCUAUGUAUCUAUCUAGUUCAUUAGGGUUCUCC